GUCCACGCCCUAAACCAUGUCAACUAGUUGUUGGGGGAUUACUUCCCUUAGUAACGUAGCUAACGCGUGAAGUUGACCGCCUGGGGAGUACGGUCGCAAGAUUAAAACUCAAAGGAAUUGACGGGGGCCCGCACAAGCGGUGGAUGAUGUGGAUUAAUUCGAUGCAACGCGAAAAACCUUACCUACCCUUGACAUGCCAGGAAGACCGCAGAGAUGUGGUUGUGCUCGAAAGAGAACCUGGACACAGGUGCUGCAUGGCUGUCGU
Molecule: ribosomal RNA, 265 nt
Filed under: uncultured bacterium
Lineage: Bacteria
Description: partial 16S ribosomal RNA
Rfam family: Bacterial small subunit ribosomal RNA
Source: RNAcentral